This is a long non-coding RNA of Ciona intestinalis (vase tunicate), 779 nucleotides long. RefSeq lists it as uncharacterized. NCBI's taxonomy places the organism in Eukaryota, Metazoa, Chordata, Ascidiacea, Phlebobranchia, Cionidae. The record is from RefSeq and is a predicted model, not a curated record.
AGUGUAAAGAAUUCUGUUUGAAUAAGAUCUAUUAGCGCACCCGCUUAAGCUUUUGUAGUCAACGUAUCAACAUCAAAUAAAAUAUGGAUGAACUGCAACAAGCCGGCGACGUCCUUGGAUCAGCAGCCGACGCAUCAAAAGCACUCGGAGGACUUUCAAAAUCUCUUCCCGGUAUGGCCAAGUCUGGAGACGGUGGUUCCGCCGAGCCAGAAACCUGCUCCGCCUGUAACCAGAAGAUUAUCACCAGUCAGCCAGAAGGAGGCGUUGAUGUAGCCAAAGCCGCAGAAACAGCCGGAAGUGUAAUGGAUUGUUGCUCCAAAGCAUUUGACUGCUUCGGAAAGGCAAACGAUAUGGUAUCACAGGUGCAACAGUGAGAAGACUCCCCUAAAACAAACUUUUAACUUAAAACAAAUUUCAUUACAAACAGUUCUAGCAAAAUUUGUGACCAUCAAACUAAGUUUCUUCAAAUUUAACCUUCAAAUUGAUUUUUAACUAAUAUUUGAAAUAUCAUAUUUAAUUUUAUUUAUGCAUCUUCACGUAAUGCACUUUUAAACCACUGUUUACAUUUAUAUGUUCCUUUUUUUAAAUGUUUUAUAUAUAAAUAGAUAUAUUGCGUAUCCAGCACUUUGGUUUUGUGUUUCUGACAAUUUAUAUUCGUGAAUAGGUGUGUUGAGUUCUUACAAACUUUGUAAUUUGUUUUUCCCUUAUGAUGUGUUGCUGGAGAAAUCACUUUAUAAGAUAAUGGCGUCAAAGGGAAUAAAAAAAGCCACAACAUCGCG